This 450-nucleotide ribosomal RNA is filed under the name uncultured Glomus. RNAcentral's name for it is "SSU rRNA". It matches the Rfam family "Eukaryotic small subunit ribosomal RNA", at positions 543 to 998 of the family's 1831-position model. The record is from RNAcentral. Lineage: Eukaryota; Fungi; Glomeromycota; Glomeromycetes; Glomerales; Glomeraceae.
AACAAUUGGAGGGCAAGUCUGGUGCCAGCAGCCGCGGUAAUUCCAGCUCCAAUAGCGUAUAUUAAAGUUGUUGCAGUUAAAAAGCUCGUAGUUGAAUUUCGGGACCAAUAUGUCGGUCGUGCUUCGGUACGUACUUGCAUUAUUGGUUUCUCCCUUCUGACGAACCAUGAUGUCAUUAAUUUGGUGUCUUGGGGAAUCAGGACUGUUACUUUGAAAAAAUUAGAGUGUUUAAAGCAGGCUCACGCUUGAAUACAUUAGCAUGGAAUAAUGAAAUAGGACGUUUGAUUCUAUUUUGUUGGUUUCUAGGAUCGACGUAAUGAUUAAUAGGGAUAGUUGGGGGCAUUAGUAUCCAAUUGUCAGAGGUGAAAUUCUUGGAUUUAUUGAAGACUAACUACUGCGAAAGCAUUUGCCAAGGAUGUUUUCAUUAAUCAAGAACGAAAGUUAGGGGAU